RNAcentral lists this ribosomal RNA (837 nucleotides) under Thyrinula parasitica. Its description in RNAcentral is "partial 28S ribosomal RNA". It matches the Rfam family "Eukaryotic large subunit ribosomal RNA", at positions 76 to 936 of the family's 3401-position model. The record is from RNAcentral. Lineage: Eukaryota; Fungi; Ascomycota; Dothideomycetes; Asterinales; Asterinaceae.
UGCCCUAGUAACGGCGAGUGAAGCGGCAACAGCUCAAAUUUGAAAUCUGGCGCCUUCGGUGCCCGAGUUGUAAUUUGUAGAGGGUAGCUCGAGCCCGCCCCCGUCUAAGUCCCCUGGAACGGGGCGUCGUAGAGGGUGAGAAUCCCGUAUGCGACGGGGUGGCGUGCUCGUGUGAGCUCCCUUCGACGAGUCGAGUUGUUUGGGAAUGCAGCUCUAAAUGGGAGGUAAAUUCCUUCUAAAGCUAAAUACCGGCCAGAGACCGAUAGCGCACAAGUAGAGUGAUCGAAAGAUGAAAAGCACUUUGGAAAGAGAGUUAAAAAGCACGUGAAAUUGUUGAAAGGGAAGCGCUCACGACCAGACUCGGGUGCGGCUGCUCAGCCGGUCUUCUGACCGGUGCAUCGGUUGUACCCGGGCCAGCAUCGGUUCGGGCGGUCGGAUAAAGGCCUCGGGAACGUAGCUCCUCUCGGGGAGUGUUAUAGCCCGGGGCGCAAUGCGGCCUGCCCGGACCGAGGAACGCGUUCGCUAGGAUGCUGGCGUAAUGGUCGUUAGCGGCCCGUCUUGAAACACGGACCAAGGAGUCUACCAUCUGUGCGAGUAUUAGGGUGUCAAACCCUUGUGCGUAAUGAAAGUGAACGGAGGUGGGAACCCUUUGGGUGCACCAUCGACCGAUCCAGAUGUCCUCGGACGGAUUUGAGUAAGAGCACCGCUGGUGGGACCCGAAAGAUGGUGAACUAUGCGCGGAUAGGGUGAAGCCAGAGGAAACUCUGGUGGAGGCUCGCAGCGGUUCUGACGUGCAAAUCGAUCGUCAAAUCUACGCAUAGGGGCGAAAGACUAAUC